UGUGCUCACUUUGGCAACAAUAUAUAAAAAUUGGAACAAUACAGAGAAGAUUGGCGUGGCCCCUGGGCAAGGAUGAAAUGAAAAUUCACAAAGUGUUUCAUAUUUUU
This 107-nucleotide small nuclear RNA is filed under the name Propithecus coquereli (Coquerel's sifaka). The record is from RNAcentral. Lineage: Eukaryota; Metazoa; Chordata; Mammalia; Primates; Indriidae.